Cinara cedri is the source of this 222-nucleotide non-coding RNA. NCBI's taxonomy places the organism in Eukaryota, Metazoa, Arthropoda, Insecta, Hemiptera, Aphididae. The record is from the annotation of a GenBank genome assembly.
AAUACUUUUCCCACGUACAAAAUUGAGAUGUAUAGAUCUGAGAUUUAUAUAAGAUUGUAUAAUUGUUAUGGACUGGCUAUUAUAUAAAAUACCUAUGUAUUUCAUAGGAAAGUAUCCACUAUUUUUAGGGGAUGAGACUAAUUCUUCAUAGUUUCUGCCUUUAGUCUACCCUAUAAAACAGUUUAUUUUAUGUUAUUUAAUACCUGUAUAAUGUGUGUACAA